GGGCGGUUAGCUCAGCUGGCUAGAGCACCUGCCUUACAAGCAGGAGGUCACUGGUUCGAGCCCAGUACCGCCCA
This 74-nucleotide transfer RNA is filed under the name Solirubrobacterales bacterium. RNAcentral describes it as "tRNA-Val". It matches the Rfam family "tRNA". Rfam says of the family: Transfer RNA (tRNA) molecules are approximately 80 nucleotides in length. Their secondary structure includes four short double-helical elements and three loops (D, anti-codon, and T loops). Further hydrogen bonds mediate the characteristic L-shaped molecular structure. tRNAs have two regions of fundamental functional importance: the anti-codon, which is responsible for specific mRNA codon recognition, and the 3' end, to which the tRNAs corresponding amino acid is attached (by aminoacyl-tRNA synthetases). tRNAs cope with the degeneracy of the genetic code in two manners: having more than one tRNA (with a specific anti-codon) for a particular amino acid; and 'wobble' base-pairing, i.e. permitting non-standard base-pairing at the 3rd anti-codon position. Lineage: Bacteria; Bacillati; Actinomycetota; Thermoleophilia; Solirubrobacterales. The record is from RNAcentral.